GAUUUUUUUCGACAACCGGUUUCCACAUACGUGCGGCAUUGUUUGCACCAAUGGAGGGGUUUGCUAACCGGUACUCAGGCGCAAAAAUUAUAUCGGUGGUUUUUUAAACUGUAAACACGAUCAUAUGUUCGUGCAGGAAACUUGCCAAUGGUGAAUUAUUUAAAUUUCAUUCCAUGCGUGGGAGGAAGAAAGGUACUUUGCAACUUUGCAUUAUUCUUUGAUUCGGACAAUCUGACAGAAUUUGAAUUGAAUAUUAAUCUAAAAAUGUUUUGAAAUCUUUUGUAUGUAUGUAUGUAUACAUAUUUUCUCUUUUGACUUCCAGCACAGAUUACACAAUAUGUAUUAUCAUCUAUCUGGGAUGGACGGAGUUUUGACUGACACCGAGUACUGCACGCUAUUCCUCCUAGUCGUCCUGCCUGUGCAUUUAUUUUUCUCGCUUUGGGCCUGGAUGGGCUGGGAACUGUUCACUAACAACUAAAUCCAAGUCAACAAUUUUGUAAACAAUUUUUUAAUAAAUUUUAUUAUGUAUUUUUAA
This is a long non-coding RNA of Cloeon dipterum, 535 nucleotides long. RefSeq lists it as uncharacterized. The record is from RefSeq and is a predicted model, not a curated record. The transcript is spliced from 2 exons. Lineage: Eukaryota; Metazoa; Arthropoda; Insecta; Ephemeroptera; Baetidae.